GAUGAGCGCUGGCGGCGUGCCUAAUACAUGCAAGUCGAGCGAACAGACGAGGAGCUUGCUCCUCUGACGUUAGCGGCGGACGGGUGAGUAACACGUGGAUAACCUACCUAUAAGACUGGGAUAACUUCGGGAAACCGGAGCUAAUACCGGAUAAUAUAUUGAACCGCAUGGUUCAAUAGUGAAAGACGGUUUUGCUGUCACUUAUAGAUGGAUCCGCGCCGCAUUAGCUAGUUGGUAAGGUAACGGCUUACCAAGGCAACGAUGCGUAGCCGACCUGAGAGGGUGAUCGGCCACACUGGAACUGAGACACGGUCCAGACUCCUACGGGAGGCAGCAGUAGGGAAUCUUCCGCAAUGGGCGAAAGCUUGACGGAGCAACGCCGCGUGAGUGAUGAAGGUCUUCGGAUCGUAAAACUCUGUUAUUAGGGAAGAACAAAUGUGUAAGUAACUAUGCACGUCUUGACGGUACCUAAUCAGAAAGCCACGGCUAACUACGUG
Molecule: ribosomal RNA, 497 nt
Filed under: uncultured bacterium
Lineage: Bacteria
Description: partial 16S ribosomal RNA
Rfam family: Bacterial small subunit ribosomal RNA
Source: RNAcentral